RNAcentral lists this long non-coding RNA (850 nucleotides) under Dermacentor andersoni. RNAcentral's name for it is "uncharacterized LOC126547893". Lineage: Eukaryota; Metazoa; Arthropoda; Arachnida; Ixodida; Ixodidae. The record is from RNAcentral.
AAUUUGUACUGUUUGAAAAGUUAAAAUGCUUUCUUGACAAAAAAUUAGGAAGUGCUGUUUUGUGCAAUGCUGGCACUACAAUUCAGAAUUCUUUUCCAGAUGAGCUAUGCCAUUGUGGAGUUCACUGCCUCUAAAGAGGUUGAAAUUGUGCCAACUACUUGGGUCACCGGGAGCAUGUGUGUCUGGCCGCAUAAUGUAAAAGUGGAGAAGGCUGGGAAAAUGGCACGGAAACAGCAUCCACCACAGUCAUGGUGGAAGCAGUAUGAAAUUGCUGUGAAAGGUUUGUUUGUUACCUAUGAACAUGCCCGGAAAAAGCUAAAUGACAGUCAGUUCCAUUCAGACCUGGCCAGUGAAACUGAAAUGCCCCCAUUGAAGAGGCGUAGACGGCCACCAGCAGCCUGGAGCAACUCUGACAGUGAAGAGGAGGAGGGAGAAACUGCCACAAGCCAGCCAAGACUGCCAGCCAUUCCAAAUAAUUUUCCGUCUGGAAAAACCUCGAGUGAAGCAACAAGUCUGCCCACAUUUGGCCAAGGAGACAAAGGCACACCAGGUAUUCUCACACAUAUACAGCUGCCUCAUUACAAAAUUAAGAUUUAUGUGCAUAUUUAUUAUUUUUUGUGUGUAACAAAUUUAACUUUCUGUGGUUCUAACCUAUAGGUUAGAACCACAGAUAGCUGUAAAGCUUCUUAAGAGCCAUGCAUAGAUGAAUUCUCAAGCAUUGUAGAAGUAAGAUGAAGCAAAAUAUGUUAACCUCCAUAAUUCAGUUUUAUAAUUGAACUAGUAAACCUUUGCUAUUGGUAAUUUUCUUUGCUCUGCUAGGCUCUUUGUCACUAUCUGUUGCAUAUCAUAU